Macrobrachium nipponense is the source of this 662-nucleotide long non-coding RNA. RefSeq lists it as uncharacterized. The transcript has 5 exons. Lineage: Eukaryota; Metazoa; Arthropoda; Malacostraca; Decapoda; Palaemonidae. The record is from RefSeq and is a predicted model, not a curated record.
UUAUAGGGCAUGGUAUGGCCUAGGUCAGAACAUAUGAAAUACUCAAACUUCCAGCUUACUGUUUGCACUACUUCAAGCAGGCUCAGAAAUUGCGACCAAAUGAUUCAAGAAUGCUUGUAGCCCUUGGUGAAGAGCUAUGAAAGAUUAGAGAAAUGGGAUGAAGCCAAGAAAUGUUUCCGCAAAGCACAUAGUGUGGGUGACAUUGAAGGUAUCGCUCUGCUAAGGUUAGCCAAGUUGUACAGUCGUUUAGGUGAAGGUGAACGUGCCAGUGUAUUAUAUGAACGAUACCUGCAAGAGACAGAAGAUGCUGGUCUGAGUGAAGACAGAGGCCAGGCGUACCAGUUUCUUGCAAAUCAUUUUUUACAAAAAAACAUUCUUGAUUUGGCAUAUUGUUAUGCACAGAAAUGCACCUUAUUUAUGGAGACUAGGGAGAGUGGUAAAACAAUGCUGAGAGAAAUUGCUAAUAGACGGCAGCACACUGAGCAGAAUACUCAGGAUGAUUGUGGCAGCAUCUUGGUGAGCAGAGUGAGAUCAAGAGUAACUUUAGGUAAUGAACGUUCUUCUUCUUCAAGAUUACCCUCCCUGAACCUCACAUACACACCAUAACAGGAUUUCAAACUAGAAACUUUUAAAUUCUACUAUUUCUUCUUAUUCAUUUCCAG